This 468-nucleotide ribosomal RNA is filed under the name uncultured Enterobacteriaceae bacterium. RNAcentral describes it as "bacterial SSU rRNA". It matches the Rfam family "Bacterial small subunit ribosomal RNA", at positions 337 to 798 of the family's 1533-position model. The record is from RNAcentral. Lineage: Bacteria; Pseudomonadati; Pseudomonadota; Gammaproteobacteria; Enterobacterales; Enterobacteriaceae.
UCCUACGGGUGGCUGCAGUGGGGAAUAUUGCACAAUGGGCGCAAGCCUGAUGCAGCCAUGCCGCGUGUAUGAAGAAGGCCUUCGGGUUGUAAAGUACUUUCAGCGGGGAGGAAGGUGUUGUGGUUAAUAACCACAGCAAUUGACGUUACCCGCAGAAGAAGCACCGGCUAACUCCGUGCCAGCAGCCGCGGUAAUACGGAGGGUGCAAGCGUUAAUCGGAAUUACUGGGCGUAAAGCGCACGCAGGCGGUCUGUCAAGUCGGAUGUGAAAUCCCCGGGCUCAACCUGGGAACUGCAUUCGAAACUGGCAGGCUAGAGUCUUGUAGAGGGGGGUAGAAUUCCAGGUGUAGCGGUGAAAUGCGUAGAGAUCUGGAGGAAUACCGGUGGCGAAGGCGGCCCCUGGACAAAGACUGACGCUCAGGUGCGAAAGCGUGGGGAGCAAACAGGAUUAGAUACCCCUGUAGUCCGG